This 481-nucleotide ribosomal RNA is filed under the name uncultured bacterium. Its description in RNAcentral is "SSU rRNA". It matches the Rfam family "Bacterial small subunit ribosomal RNA", at positions 26 to 518 of the family's 1533-position model. The record is from RNAcentral.
AGGACGAACGCUGGCGGCGUGCUUAACACAUGCAAGUCACGGGGGCCCGCAAGGGCAACCGGCGAACGGGUGCGUAACACGUGAGCAAUCUGCCGAUCUCUGGGGGAUAGCCAGCCUAACGGCUGGGUAAUACCGCAUACGCUCGUUGGGGGGAGUCCCCUGAUGAGGAAACCUCCGGGGGAGAUCGAGGAGCUCGCGACCUAUCAGCUAGUUGGCGGGGUAACGGCCCACCAAGGCAGCGACGGGUAGCUGGUCUGAGAGGAUGGCCAGCCACAUUGGGACUGCGACACGGCCCAGACUCCUACGGGAGGCAGCAGUGGGGAAUAUUGCGCAAUGGACGAAAGUCUGACGCAGCGACGCCGCGUGUGGGAUGAAGCCUUUCGGGGUGUAAACCACUGUUGCCCGGGACGAAACUCCUCUUUCGAGAGGAUUGACGGUACCGGGUGAGGAAGCACCGGCUAACUCGUGUGCCAGCAGCCGC